This 480-nucleotide ribosomal RNA is filed under the name Callistoctopus minor (long arm octopus). RNAcentral's name for it is "partial 16S ribosomal RNA". It matches the Rfam family "Bacterial large subunit ribosomal RNA", at positions 1852 to 2552 of the family's 2925-position model. Lineage: Eukaryota; Metazoa; Mollusca; Cephalopoda; Octopoda; Octopodidae. The record is from RNAcentral.
GUUGGGCCUGCUCGGUGAGAAGAAAAAUUUAACAGCUGCGGUAUUAUAACUGUACUAAGGUAGCAUAAUAAUUUGCCUUAUAAAUUAAGGCUAGAAUGAAUGGUUUGACGAAAAUUAGACUGUCUUUAUUUUAUUUGUUAGAAAUUAAUUUUUAUAGUGAAAAAGCUUGAAUAAUUUAAGGGGACGAGAAGACCCUAUUGAGCUUUAUUUAUUAAUAUUUAAAUAUAAAUAUAUAAUUUAUAUUAUGAAAAUUAUGUUGUAUAUAUAUAUAUAUUUAAUUGAUUUAAUUUUGAUUGGGGUGAUCAAGGAAUAAAGAUAAAGUAACUUCCUUAAAAUUAAUGAUUGUUUUUAUAGAGUAAUAAACCAAGUUUUUUGCUUAUAAGAUAAGUUACCAUAGGGGUAACAGCGUAAUUUUUUUUGAGAGUUCAUAUUGAAAAAAGAGAUUGCGACCUCGAUGUUGGAUUAAAAAUUACCUUAAGG